GUAAGAGCUGAGCUGUGAAUCGCUUGUAGAAGAAGUGCGUCGUAUAGUAGAUAAUUUUGUGCUCUAAAAAUCUUUUUAGAAUAUCAAUUUAAGAAAUCUGUGAUACUACCGUCCACUCUCUCCAUUUUAUUUUUGAUUAAAUUGGUCAUUGUCAGUGGACAUUGUGGUCUCUUACUAUUGAGCAAAGUUUGAGACAAAAUAUACGUCGCUGGUGGACUUAGAGGUAUGUGUGGUUAUCAAAACUCGGUGGAAGUUUAUGACCCUGAUACGAACAAGUGGACGUUCGUAGCACCAAUGCUUUCUCGACGUGCCGGUUUCUCUUGCGUCGCGUUCCACGCCCUAGGAGGAAGAGACAAAGACGAAUACGGAGACUCAAACGAAUAUGAAGACCCAGACGAAGACAGAGACGAAGACCCAGAAGAAGACGAAGACUCAAACGAAUAUGAAGACUCAGAAGAAGACGGAGACUCAGACGAAUACGAAGACGAUGACGGAGAAUCAAAA
Zootermopsis nevadensis is the source of this 504-nucleotide non-coding RNA. Lineage: Eukaryota; Metazoa; Arthropoda; Insecta; Blattodea; Termopsidae. The record is from RefSeq and is a predicted model, not a curated record.